This 407-nucleotide long non-coding RNA is filed under the name Lathyrus oleraceus (garden pea). RNAcentral's name for it is "Pisum sativum (pea) long non-coding RNA (PSAT_LNC020113)". Lineage: Eukaryota; Viridiplantae; Streptophyta; Magnoliopsida; Fabales; Fabaceae. The record is from RNAcentral.
UUUCGAUAACAACUACCCUAUUUAUAUACAAAUAACAUAACUGUUACUAACUACCAAAUCCUAAAACUGUGACACAUGGCUUUCUUCCUUUCGCCAGAUGCUCCCACGCGUCUUCUGCCAAACGUCACAACUCUUUUGAAUUUGAAAUUUACACUUUACGUCGAAAUGACGUCUUUCUCCAGGCUUUGUCGAAUUGUUGAAAUACUACAACAUCCUCCAUGUCUGUCAAAGGUGCCUUUCCAUCUGCAGAUAUCUUGUCGAAAUGUCGAAGCUUCAAUUUUGUCGAAGUGUCGAACAACACUUAUCAACCAAACCGUUUAUCCCAUGUCAUCAUUUGUCGAAAGAACCAUUCUGCAUACCAAAUCUCAUGGCGUCGAAAACGCAUGUAUACAAAUUGCCCCCCAGCA